This 810-nucleotide ribosomal RNA is filed under the name Escherichia coli. RNAcentral's name for it is "partial 23S ribosomal RNA". It matches the Rfam family "Bacterial large subunit ribosomal RNA", at positions 419 to 1229 of the family's 2925-position model. The record is from RNAcentral. Lineage: Bacteria; Pseudomonadati; Pseudomonadota; Gammaproteobacteria; Enterobacterales; Enterobacteriaceae.
GGGACACGUGGUAUCCUGUCUGAAUAUGGGGGGACCAUCCUCCAAGGCUAAAUACUCCUGACUGACCGAUAGUGAACCAGUACCGUGAGGGAAAGGCGAAAAGAACCCCGGCGAGGGGAGUGAAAAAGAACCUGAAACCGUGUACGUACAAGCAGUGGGAGCACGCUUAGGCGUGUGACUGCGUACCUUUUGUAUAAUGGGUCAGCGACUUAUAUUCUGUAGCAAGGUUAACCGAAUAGGGGAGCCGAAGGGAAACCGAGUCUUAACUGGGCGUUAAGUUGCAGGGUAUAGACCCGAAACCCGGUGAUCUAGCCAUGGGCAGGUUGAAGGUUGGGUAACACUAACUGGAGGACCGAACCGACUAAUGUUGAAAAAUUAGCGGAUGACUUGUGGCUGGGGGUGAAAGGCCAAUCAAACCGGGAGAUAGCUGGUUCUCCCCGAAAGCUAUUUAGGUAGCGCCUCGUGAAUUCAUCUCCGGGGGUAGAGCACUGUUUCGGCAAGGGGGUCAUCCCGACUUACCAACCCGAUGCAAACUGCGAAUACCGGAGAAUGUUAUCACGGGAGACACACGGCGGGUGCUAACGUCCGUCGUGAAGAGGGAAACAACCCAGACCGCCAGCUAAGGUCCCAAAGUCAUGGUUAAGUGGGAAACGAUGUGGGAAGGCCCAGACAGCCAGGAUGUUGGCUUAGAAGCAGCCAUCAUUUAAAGAAAGCGUAAUAGCUCACUGGUCGAGUCGGCCUGCGCGGAAGAUGUAACGGGGCUAAACCAUGCACCGAAGCUGCGGCAGCGACGCUGAUGCGUUGUUGGGU